This 261-nucleotide ribosomal RNA is filed under the name uncultured prokaryote. RNAcentral's name for it is "partial 16S ribosomal RNA". It matches the Rfam family "Bacterial small subunit ribosomal RNA", at positions 524 to 784 of the family's 1533-position model. The record is from RNAcentral.
UACGGAGGAUGCAAGCGUUAUCCGGAUUUAUUGGGUUUAAAGGGUGCGUAGGCGGGACUGUAAGUCAGGGGUGAAAUACUGCAGCUUAACUGUAGCAUUGCCUUUGAAACUUCCGUUCUUGAGUACAGUUGAGGUAGGCGGAAUGUGGUGUGUAGCGGUGAAAUGCAUAGAUAUACCACAGAACGCCGAUUGCGAAGGCAGCUUACUAAGCUGUUACUGACGCUGAGGCACGAAAGCGUGGGGAUCAAACAGGAUUAGAUA